GGAAGACGACGAUCUGUGAUCAGUCCCCCGCCCCCUGUGCAAUCAGCAUGUAAUCAGCUGAUACAGCAACUAAGUAACAUUGAAAUGGGGCUGGAAGAUGGAAGCCUGACUGGUUGGGGCAAGACAACCAGACGGCCCCGUCGGCAAAGAUGUCCGGCCGGUAACCCUCCGGCUGUCCCUUUAACUUAAUCAACGGUAGGAGGCUUUGAUUUAUUAAUUGAGCAUAUGAUGUUAUAGAGGAAAGCUGGGAAGUUAUUUGUAUGGCUCUAGGUUGAGAUUUAAGAUCCAUGGAGCAUAG
RNAcentral lists this unclassified non-coding RNA (298 nucleotides) under Hevea brasiliensis (rubber tree). The record is from RNAcentral. Lineage: Eukaryota; Viridiplantae; Streptophyta; Magnoliopsida; Malpighiales; Euphorbiaceae.